Molecule: ribosomal RNA, 492 nt
Filed under: uncultured bacterium
Lineage: Bacteria
Description: partial 16S ribosomal RNA
Rfam family: Bacterial small subunit ribosomal RNA
Source: RNAcentral
AGUGAACGCUGGCGGUAGGCCUAACACAUGCAAGUCGAACGGCAGCACAGUAAGAGCUUGCUCUUACGGGUGGCGAGUGGCGGACGGGUGAGGAAUACAUCGGAAUCUACUUUUUCGUGGGGGAUAACGUAGGGAAACUUACGCUAAUACCGCAUACGACCUACGGGUGAAAGCAGGGGAUCUUCGGACCUUGCGCGAUUGAAUGAGCCGCUGUCGGAUUAGCUAGUUGGCGGGGUAAAGGCCCACCAAGGCGACGAUCCGUAGCUGGUCUGAGAGGAUGAUCAGCCACACUGGAACUGAGACACGGUCCAGACUCCUAAGGGAGGCAGCAGUGGGGAAUAUUGGACAAUGGGCGCAAGCCUGAUCCAGCCAUACCGCGUGGGUGAAGAAGGCCUUCGGGUUGUAAAGCCCUUUUGUUGGGAAAGAAAAGCAGCAGGUUAAUACCCCGCUGUUCUGACGGUACCCAAAGAAUAAGCACCGGCUAACUUCGUG